This 1152-nucleotide ribosomal RNA is filed under the name Triticum aestivum (bread wheat). RNAcentral describes it as "partial small subunit ribosomal RNA". The record is from RNAcentral. Lineage: Eukaryota; Viridiplantae; Streptophyta; Magnoliopsida; Poales; Poaceae.
AUGGCCGACGGGAAGGACCUGGGCGCCGCGGCGGCCGCGGAACCCGACCCCGAUGAAGGGCAGCCGGAUCUGGAAGAGGAAGGUGAGCUCGAAGCCGCCGCCGGCGGCGGCGAGGAAGAAGAGGACGUCGACGUCGACGGCCUCGCCAGCUUCCUCGAAUUCGAGAUCCUCUCCGGAUCCAGCGAGGAAGAUCCUCUCGACCAGCUGGAGGAGGGCGAGGAGGAGAAGGAGACGGGGGUGAACUAUGAGGCGAAGAACGGUAAGAGGAAGCAAGAUUCGCUGUCGGACGGAGAUGGCAGCGGCAGCGAGGACGAGCAUCAGAAGAGGGCGAGGAAGGAGAAGGGAAAAGGAAAGGUUUUGGCAGAGGGGCCGCCUCAGAUUGACACGGGCAUGUUCACCAACGUCCCCCCGGAGCUGUUCCUGCAGAUCUUCAAGUUCCUCUCCUCGGAGGACCUCAUCUCGUGUGCCCUUGUGUGUCGCUUCAUGAACGCCGCCGCAUCUGACGAGACCCUUUGGCGCCGCUUGUAUUGUAUGAGGUGGGGCCUGUCCUCUAAUGCUACCUCUAACGCGAAACUCAGGGAGUGUGCUUGGAAGAGCCUCUACAUUCAGCAAGACAGAGAAGAUAUGGUUGAAUUCGUGAGAUAUACCCCUACAGAAUUCAAAGAGUACUAUAUCCAGAUGCAGGCUGCAAAAAGGAGUCAGGCACCCCUUCCCUCAGAAGUUAACGACGACAAGAUUGUUCUUGAUAAGACAGUAGCUGAUCAGGUGUCUAGUUGGAAAAGCCGCAGAGGCCUUACCGAUGAUGCAGUCAAGGGGCAUUCUUGUUCCGGAAGUACUUGCUACUAUAAGCAGAUUGGUGAUGCUUAUAUCUGUGAGAAGACUGGUCGUGUACAUGUCUGCGAUGAUGCCUGUCGUGAAUUUGUCUUGGACCAAGCUAGCGGGUUACUUGUCUGUACGAUAUCUGGGCACUGUUUUGAGAGAUUUUUAUGUCCUGAUGACGAGUGGGACACUUGUGAUGCUGAUCAGCAGCAAGGUGGCGUGACUGAUGAAGCAGAGCCAUUCAUGGGAUCUGGACGAUUUGCACGAGCUUAUCAGUUGGGUUACAGCUGUGCCGACGAGAAGGAACUUGAGCACGCUUUGCGGUUCUGCUGA